Molecule: long non-coding RNA, 1062 nt
Organism: Pieris napi
Lineage: Eukaryota; Metazoa; Arthropoda; Insecta; Lepidoptera; Pieridae
Exons: 2
Source: RefSeq, a predicted model, not a curated record
GCUCCUGCACACGAUGCCGUCACCGCGCCGUUGCCGCGCUGACGCCGCACAUUUACUCUGUAGAUACGAGUCGCGUAAAGCCCGCCGCCGCGCCGCCGCCACCCCGCCUCCGCGCGCGUUUCCUCUGUUGGAUUCACUCCAUUACCGGCCGCGAACGAACGUGCACGUGCGUAACUUUUUAAGAAAUUACCAUGGAAAGUUUUGAUUACGAAACGUUUAUAACUUUAGUGGAGGACAGAGAAGUGUUAUGGGACAAAACUUUGGAAAUAUAUAAAGACAAGCGUAAAAGUUUAAAAGCUUGGUUUGAGAUCUGCCAUAUAAUGAAUGAGAACUUUGCGGAACUACCUCAUACGGAGAAAAAUAAAUACGGUAAAAUAAUAUCUCAGAAAUGGAAAAAUAUAAGAGAUGCAUGGAUGAAAUGCGACAAAAAGAUUCGUGAAUCGAAAUCUGGAUCAGGUGCAAAACCAGUACAUAAAUAUCAAUAUUAUGAUAAUUUACAAUUUUUGAAAAAAAUUACCCCACGGCCACCCCAAUCUGGAUCAAACAUGCCGGAAGAAAAAAAAUCUGAAGAGUCUAAUGUCACCAAAAGAAAGAAAAACGAAGAAAUAAACCCCGUAGAUAAGAAAAUGAUUAAGUUUAUGGAAUCGUUAGAAAAAGAUGACGAUAGUAGAAUGAUGUCUUUUUUUAAAGGUAUAGCUCCUAGCGUGGAACGCUUCAAAGACGAAGACAUUGUUGAAUUCCAGUAUCAAGUAUUGAAUAUUAUAAGAAAUAUUCAAUAUACGAGUAGAAAUAGUUAUAGCGCUCCACAUAACAGUACGAGAGUUCAAUCACAGGCUUCGAAUUAUAGCAUUGAAAAUGAUUCAUUACAAAGCAUCACAAGUCCAUCUACUUCAAGCUUGAUUGAUUUUGAUUUUUCUACAUUACAUCAGGAUAAUUAAAAAAAAUAUAUAUGUUACUUUACCUCAAUGUAACAACCAAUCUCUCCUUAGCAGAUAUACUUGCUCGCAUAUUUGUAUUUGUGUGUUGCAGUUUGUUAUUUAAUAAAUCUAAUAAUUUAUCAAA